Molecule: unclassified non-coding RNA, 257 nt
Filed under: uncultured fungus
Lineage: Eukaryota; Fungi
Description: partial contains 5.8S ribosomal RNA, internal transcribed spacer 2, and large subunit ribosomal RNA
Rfam family: 5.8S ribosomal RNA (bases 1-52)
Source: RNAcentral
AACGCACAUUGCGCCCCUUGGUAUUCCGAGGGGCAUGCCUGUUCGAGCGUCAUUACACCACUCAAGCACAGCUUGGUAUUGGGCAACCGCCCCCGCCAGUCGGGGACGCGCCUCAAAAACCUCGGCGGAGCCUCACCGGCUUUGGGCGUAGUAGAUUUUCUAAACGUCCUUUAACGGAGAUGGUUCCUUUGCCGACUGAAGCCUCAUAUUUUUUACAGGUUGACCUCGGAUCAGGUAGGGAUACCCGCUGAACUUAA